CAAUAGCGUAUAUUAAAGUUGUUGCGGUUAAAAAGCUCGUAGUUGGAUUUCUGCCGAGGACGACCGGUCCGCCCUCCGGGUGAGUAUCUGGUUUGGCCUGGGCAUCUUCUUGGAGAACGUAGCUGCACUUGACUGUGUGGUGCGGUGUCCAGGACUUUUACUUUGAGGAAAUUAGAGUGUUUCAAGCAGGCACACGCCUUGAAUACAUUAGCAUGGAAUAAUAAGAUAGGACCUCGGUUCUAUUUUGUUGGUUUCUAGAGCUGAGGUAAUGAUUAAUAGGGAUAGUUGGGGGCAUUCGUAUUUAACUGUCAGAGGUGAAAUUCUUGGAUUUGCUAAAGACGGACUACUGCGAAAGCAUUUGCCAAGGAUGUUUUCAUUGA
This 380-nucleotide ribosomal RNA is filed under the name uncultured eukaryote. Its description in RNAcentral is "partial 18S ribosomal RNA". It matches the Rfam family "Eukaryotic small subunit ribosomal RNA", at positions 592 to 976 of the family's 1831-position model. The record is from RNAcentral.